GCCAGGGUCACCCGCUUUCGAGAGAGGAGCUGCCGUUCUGCGGCCUCGGGUUGAAUGCAAGCAAUGGACAUUGAGAAGGUCAACUCCAUGGACUUUGGGGAAUUUGUGGAUGUGUUUGGGAAUGUCAUUGAGAGGUGUCCUCUGAUUGCCGCUGCUGUUUGGUCCCAGCGCCCGUUCUCCAACUUGGAAGAUUUAGAGAAGCACUUCUUUGCCUUCAUUGACGCCCUUCCGCAGUCAGGCCAAGAGGGCAUCCUGCGCUGCCACCCGGACCUGGCGGGCCGCGAGCUGCAGCAGGGCACGCUCACCGCCGAGUCGCAGAAGGAGCAGAGAGGCGCGGGCCUGACGAGCCUGAACACCGACGAGCGGCUCCGGCUGGCGGAGCUCAACGCGCAGUACCGCGCGCGCUUCGGCUUCCCCUUCGUGCUCGCCGCGCGCCUGAGCAACAGGGCGGCGGUGCCGCGGGAGCUGGCGCGCAGGCUGCACUGCCCGCCCGCGCAGGAGCUGCGCACCGCCCUAGGCGAGGUGAAGAAGAUCGGCCACCUGCGUCUCGCUGACCUCCUGGGCGCGGAGCAAACCUGACUGUAGCGGCCGCGCGAGCCCGGGACCCGGGGCGCACGUCCGGACGCGCGGGGACGGGAGCUGGCGCGGGCCGGGAACGGCGUCCAACACGCGCGCAGAGGGAGGGGAGACCUGAAGCCACCGCACGAAUAAUGAGCCCUUUUGUCCACCCACCCACACGCGCACGCUUUGCCAAAAUCUCUGUAGAGUUUCUGUUGGCACAGGAGAAACAAGCCAUACCUGCCCUCCUAGAUGCAGACAUGGUAACAAGUGAAGGCCCUUUUGAAGACUGGAACCUCCAUUAGGGACCAUCCCAGGCCCAGGGUAGCAGCAGCAACAGCAGCAAAAAAAAUCUUCUUUUCACAAAAAGUGUGGCCACACCUCGGUUGGGGGGGCUGAAUCCCACAGAAAGAAGCCGCUCUGACCACACCAGGAGGAAGUUCUGUAGGGGGAGACCCUGGAUCCACCCCUGAAAGGAGCUGGGAGGUUCCUCUGGCCAAGACUCCUGAGCUCUUAUAGCCUUGCAGGCAGACGCAGGACGCGGGACGUAGGCGCCAGGCUGGCAAGGGCCCUGGCAAAUACAACUGACAGCUCUGGCUUUUUUUUUCUCCAGUAGGAGCAAAGAGCCCGAGGCCAGGUCUUGUGGGAGCGGGUCACCUGUGGCUGCCAAAGUCUGGGAGAGCAGUUUUCUGUGGACUCACACAGCAACACGCCCUGGGCUUGUGCUGGCCUUGGCCUGGCGGAGACGUUUUUUCGUUUCCGUGCUGCCCUGCGCAAGAGGCGGGAGACAAACCCGGAUGGCAGAGACGAAGGGCCACCGUCUGAGGCCUUCAUGUGUGUGCACCAGCACAGGUGGCGGGAUGGCCUGAGAGCGUUGGGCAUCUGGGGUUCCAGAGUUGUUGGUGCAGAUUCUAGGGUGGAUAAUUUAAUAUUUUACUUACUAAUUCGUUAACACACAAACACAAUAGCAAUGCAAAAAAUAGUUGGAAGGCGAGGAGCUGCUUUCGGUCCCCUAACCCUGCAGCCCUUCCAAGCACGCUCCCUUCCCAGGUGCUGGUACUGCUUUGCCAAUUUUCACCCCCCUCUUAAAAUGUCCAACCCCAACCCAGCGUGUGCUCUGAGCAAAAAGACCGAGAGCUCCCGCUAGGAAUCCACGAGCCCAAUCCUAGCUUGGCAUUCACAUGUGUAACUGAGAAACCAAAUUGGGGAGGGGUCUGCUUUCAUUUGCCCAGAGACGCCGGCUUUUUGGUCUGUGUGUCCAAAAGAUGUCCACGGACACGGGCAUGGGAAGAAGAGAAAGGGGGAAAAGGACAAGACAAUUUCUUUGCAUAAAUUUCUUUAUUCAUUUUAAAUUUGACACACUUCCAGAGAUCAGCCUUAGGAUGUCAAUUCCAGUUCAAAAAUAAAGAGCUCUUUUUAGAAAGUAUGUACUGUAGGACAGGAGUAGAUGGAGACCUUCUUUGGUAACUGGUGGAAAACUUGGGAUGAAAUUUAUGGAAAAUUGGCCAUUCAAUAAACUAAUAAACAGCAGUUAGCAGG
Molecule: RNA transcript, 2097 nt
Organism: Lutra lutra (Eurasian river otter)
Lineage: Eukaryota; Metazoa; Chordata; Mammalia; Carnivora; Mustelidae
Gene: URAD
Gene name: ureidoimidazoline (2-oxo-4-hydroxy-4-carboxy-5-) decarboxylase
Exons: 4
Source: RefSeq, a predicted model, not a curated record